AAAAAUGAAAAAGAAAAAAUUGUCUCAAAAGAAAAAAAAGAAAAAGGAGAUAAGGAUCGAGGUUGUGUUGGUGUUGGUGCCGGUGCAGGAAGAGAGGGCUUGUUGGUGGAUCCGAUUCAGAAAAAAUGGGUUCAAACCCGUCGUUUGUCCCGGAGAUCGGAUCCGAUGGUCUUCCCAGACAAUCUUCCGUUAUCACUUACACCGAACAGAUAAUCGAAGCAGAACAGCUUCAAUUGAAGAAGUACAUUCAAGAAAACUAUACUAAAAUUCGUGAUGUGGAGCGUGAGCUUGCAAAUCUUGGAUUAGAGAUGAAGCUUACAUCUGGACCAAAGAAAGCAGCGCUGGAACAUAUGAGAAAGAAGAUAGAGGCAUCAACCGAGAAAAUUCGUGUGGCAAAGAUACAGGAAGAACAGGCACGCAAGGUGUGGGAAUCAGCAUCAAAAACAGUGCAAGAAGAAGAGGCAAUAAAGCAGAAGUUAUGUGAAGACUUAAGCAAACUGGUCGAAGAGAGCAAUAACUCUCAGUUGUCUAGGCUGGAGGAUUUAAAAAGACGAUUAGAAGCUAUGAAUCCGAAUCGAAGUUCAACUAGUCUGCAUAGUGAUGGAAGAUCAAGUUCUCUGGAUAGUGCAAUCCAAGGAGGAUCGGCUGGGAAUGUUCCAUACCAAAAUAAUGGUCUGAAAGUUCCAGUGACCAAUGAGCAUAAACCACAGCCUCCUAGUGAAGAAGGAAGAAAUAAAAAGAAAGUUAACUAUCAAAGAGGAAAAGGAAUUGGCGCGGUGCCCAAAACUAGGUCUUCAACUCCUGACUGGACUGGUGCUGGCUUUGAUGUAGAUGGCAGAACCUGAGAGUAGUAUGGUAAUACGUUACUGCACUAAAUACAUUUUUGGCUGAGAAGUCAUUAGGGUCUGCACAAGGUAAUAACAUCUUUCAAUUUUCCAUUCUUUAUACCCAUUAACAAGGAAGUGUCAAUUCCCCCCAAUUUUUGUGACAGUUUUUUGACAGUUGACACAGAAUGACAGACCAGAUAAUUUAUUUGUGCUAGACUGCUUGUACAAACUUGUGAAUAGGAUAUUUUCAUAUGGAAGAUCAGAUCAAUUCAUCAAGACAUCUCUAGAAGGUGCAGUGCGUGUUUGGUUCAAAAGCUUCCGAAGAAAACUUAAAAAAAUAUAUAUUUUUUUUCAACUUUAAUCUUUACCAGACAUGGUGGAAGAAACUAAUUUCCACUUUGACCAUAUGAUUAGUUUGUAGUUCGAUUGUUAUCGGUUCAUUUCCGUUCAACAUUUGGGUUUUACGUGUUAUUUUAACCACACCCAUUCAAUUUGUACCAAAUUUCUACUUACGAAUACAAUUGAUAAAAAAAUGAUUAAAUAUUAUUUUGGUCCUUCAAAUA
RNA transcript from Glycine soja, 1390 nucleotides. RefSeq lists it as uncharacterized. The record is from RefSeq and is a predicted model, not a curated record. The transcript has 8 exons. NCBI's taxonomy places the organism in Eukaryota, Viridiplantae, Streptophyta, Magnoliopsida, Fabales, Fabaceae.